Molecule: ribosomal RNA, 401 nt
Filed under: uncultured bacterium
Lineage: Bacteria
Description: bacterial SSU rRNA
Rfam family: Bacterial small subunit ribosomal RNA
Source: RNAcentral
GAUUAACGCUGGCGGCAUGCCUAAUACAUGCAAGUCGAACGAGAGUAGCAAUACUCUAGUGGCGAACGGGUGAGUAACACGUAGGUAACCUGCCUUAGAGACGAGGAUAACUACUGGAAACGGUAGCUAAACUAGGAUAGUAUAUUUUGGGGUCGAUCCCGAAACUAUUUAAAAGUUACCUUAUGGGAAGUAACUCUAAGAAUGGGCCGUGCGGUGGCAUUAGCUAGUUAGGUGAGGUAACGGCCCACCAAGGACGACGAUGCAUAGCUGUGCUGAGAGGCAAAUCAGCCACACUGGGACUGAGACACGGCCCAGACUCCUACGGGAGGCAGCAGUAGGGAAUUUUCGGCAAUGGGCGAAAGCCUGACCGAGCAAUGCCGCGUGAAUGAAGAAAUUACUUC